RNAcentral lists this unclassified non-coding RNA (24 nucleotides) under Mus musculus (house mouse). RNAcentral describes it as "oocyte_clustered_small_RNA4172". The record is from RNAcentral. Lineage: Eukaryota; Metazoa; Chordata; Mammalia; Rodentia; Muridae.
CUAUCCUGGGCACAAAGUGGAAUA